Long non-coding RNA from Fukomys damarensis (Damara mole-rat), 317 nucleotides. RefSeq lists it as uncharacterized. The record is from RefSeq and is a predicted model, not a curated record. Lineage: Eukaryota; Metazoa; Chordata; Mammalia; Rodentia; Bathyergidae. The transcript has 4 exons.
CAUCCUGUAGCUGGAGAGCAGCUUCCGGCUCGGCAACCAAUCUACUGGUCGGUGUCGCCAUAUAAGUGUAGGGGGCGCGCCGGCGGCCGACUUGCAGCUUUUGAACCGGGUUCCAGAGGGUGUGCUAGCACCAUGUCCGGCCGCGAAGGUGGCAAGAAGAAGCCCUUGAAACAGCCCAAGAAACAGGCCAAGGAGAUGGACGAGGAAGAUAGAGCGUUCAAACAGAAGCAAAAAGAGGAGCAGAAGAAACUCGAGGAGCUAAAAACGAAGGCCGCGGGAAGGGGUCCCCUGGCCACAGGUGGAAUUAAGAAAUCUGG